GAUGAACGCUGGCGGCGUGCCUAAUACAUGCAAGUCGAGCGAACGGACGAGAAGCUUGCUUCUCUGAUGUUAGCGGCGGACGGGUGAGUAACACGUGGAUAACCUACCUAUAAGACUGGGAUAACUUCGGGAAACCGGAGCUAAUACCGGAUAAUAUUUUGAACCGCAUGGUCCAAAAGUGAAAGACGGUCUUGCUGUCACUUAUAGAUGAAUCCGCGCUGCAUUAGCUAGUUGGUAAGGUAACGGCUUACCAAGGCAACGAUGCAUAGCCGACCUGAGAGGGUGAUCGGCCACACUGGAACUGAGACACGGUCCAGACUCCUACGGGAGGCAGCAGUAGGGAAUCUUCCGCAAUGGGCGAAAGCCUGACGGAGCAACGCCGCGUGAGUGAUGAAGGUCUUCGGAUCGUAAAACUCUGUUAUUAGGGAAGAACAUAUGUGUAAGUAACUGUGCACAUCUUGACGGUACCUAAUCAGAAAGCCACGGCUAACUACGUG
This 497-nucleotide ribosomal RNA is filed under the name uncultured bacterium. Its description in RNAcentral is "partial 16S ribosomal RNA". It matches the Rfam family "Bacterial small subunit ribosomal RNA", at positions 28 to 507 of the family's 1533-position model. The record is from RNAcentral.